Molecule: long non-coding RNA, 391 nt
Filed under: Populus trichocarpa (black cottonwood)
Lineage: Eukaryota; Viridiplantae; Streptophyta; Magnoliopsida; Malpighiales; Salicaceae
Description: long non-coding RNA (PTRI_LNC003593)
Source: RNAcentral
UCCGCUAACGUUUGUUUCUCUUAUAAUCUCAACAUUUGUUCUGUUGUUAUUCAACUUGCUCGGAUUGCUCUGAAGGUUUGUUGUCUAUCCACAAAGCUUUGUUUGGGCUGUGCUGCUCUGUAUUUGUUGUUCUUCAGGGGGUGUUUGUGUUGAGGCUUUGUGAUUCUGCUUUUUGUGUGCUUGGUUUGUCCUGCGCAAAUUUAUUCUUUCAUCAGGUUUUUCCCUUUUCACUUGCCUUUUCUUUCCUGGGUCUUUUUAUGCUGCCCUGCUGCAUCCUUUUCUUCUUCUUCUUCUUCUUCUUCAGGUUGUUUCUUCUUUUCUCUGAUCAAUCCAACUCUGCUGCCAAUGACGCAUUUAUGUCCUUGCUCAUUGUUUUCUGUUUCUCUCUCUU